AGGAGGAACAGCCCCAGUGGCGGGGCAGCUCUGGAAACCUGGAUUCAGCUCCGGCGGGAACUCCGUCUGCAGGGCCUGGAGGCUCCGAGGCGGG
This 94-nucleotide microRNA precursor is filed under the name Canis lupus familiaris (dog). RNAcentral's name for it is "mir-8834 microRNA precursor family". It matches the Rfam family "mir-8834 microRNA precursor family". Lineage: Eukaryota; Metazoa; Chordata; Mammalia; Carnivora; Canidae. RNAcentral also lists the same sequence under 1 other name. The record is from Rfam by way of RNAcentral.